RNAcentral lists this long non-coding RNA (2418 nucleotides) under Ricinus communis (castor bean). RNAcentral's name for it is "long non-coding RNA (RCOM_LNC002721)". The record is from RNAcentral. Lineage: Eukaryota; Viridiplantae; Streptophyta; Magnoliopsida; Malpighiales; Euphorbiaceae.
AAACAUUUCAUUUCAUUUUCUUAUAUUAUUAUUUUGAAAAUAAUAUUCUUGUGUCCAAUGUGUCAUGCUAAUAUAUGACCUUAGUACUUGACAAUGCAUGACUUAUAUGUGACUAUGAUGCAUGACCAAUGCAUAUGCCACUCAUUGAUUGACAACUUGGCCACAAUUAUGAAGUUCCAAAAUAACAAAGUUCAUAAAACAUUCAAAUUUCAAAAUUUACUUCUAAAACUAUUAUCAAAUCCUUUUCAUCUUUAUCAAACUGAAUUAUUAUGAUAUAUUGAAACUACAGCCCAAUUGCCAAAAAGCAUUUCCAAUUUGUAUAAUUUAAUAAAUGCAAAACCUUCAUCACUAGUAAGUGACUUAUCAUGUACAAAUAAAAGAAAUUAAUAAAAGACAAUCAAGAAUUGUAUACUUACCAAGUCGCUUGACUGAUUAUUAUGAACCUAGGCUCUUAUUACUAAACUUCUACUUUGAUUUCAGAUGUAAUUCUAGCAUAUACUAAACCAAACAUCAUCACAUUAUUUCACAUCAUAUAAUACAAUAUCAAAUAUAGCUAAAUAAUACUCAUGCCAACAUAGUAGUAAAAAUAGUAAUAAUAGUAGUAAUAAUAAUAACAACAACUACAACUACAACAACAGUAAUAAUAAUAAUAAUAAUAAUCAAAAAAUAAAUAAUAAUCACGUAGUAAGGUAAUUUAAGUAUCAACUCACAAACUUAUCGUUAUUCUCAAGUUUUAUUGCUCUAAAGACACUUAUGCAGCAAGUUGGAUGCGACCCAAAUAAUAGAUAUUAAAAUUAAAAUGUGCUCCUAUACAUCAAGAUCUUAAUGUUAUACUCCUUUUUUGCACCUUGAUGUGUUGUCCAUUUCAUACUUAAAUAUUACUUACCUAAGACUUUGAUCUAUCUCAGGUUAUGCCUAAAAUUGUUCAUUCACAUUUCAUGUCCUUAUAAAAUUUAUUUUUAACAAUCUGAACGCUAAAAUGAUGUUAUUUUGCAAUCAUUCAUUUCAUUUUCUUAUAUUAUUAUAUUGGAACUAAUGUCCUUGUAUCCAAUGUGUCAUCCUAAUAUAUGACCUUAGUACUUGACAAUGCAUGACUUAUAUGUGACUUAGAUGCACGACUAAUGCAUAUGCGGUUGAUUGACUGACAACUUGGAUUUUAAUAUAUCUCGAGUUACAUCUAAAAUUGUUCAUUCAUAUUUCAUGUCUUUUUCAAAUUCAUCUUCAAUAUGGACUGUAAAAUGAUUGAGUUUUUAACAAUCAUUUGAUUUCUUUUUUUUUAUUAUUAUUUUGAAACUAAUGUUCUUGUGUCCAUAUAUGUCGAACUAAUAUACAACCUUCAUAUAUGACAAUGAAUAAUUUAUAUGUGACUCUAUGAUACAUGACAAAUGCACAUAUGAAGUCAUUGAGUGACAACCUAGACACAAGUAUCAAGUUCCAAAAUAACAAAAUUUAAAGUAAAUAUUCAAAUUUCAAAAAGUACUUUUUAAAAAAAUAUGUCUCUUUAUCAAAUUGAUUUAUUAUAAUCAUAUUGUAACUAAAGCCCAUACUUUUAGUCCAUAAGAAAAAUGUUGCAGAAUCGUAGACAACCCUUGCAUAAUAGAAAAUAUAAGUACUUAGCAUCCAAAUCAAUUAUGCAAUCAGUAAAUUCAAUGAAUCCUGACUAAUUACUUAAAAGUCUUUGCUAUUGUUGAAAAUAUGAUAAUUCAAAAGCACAUUAUCAUUUUUUUUUAUCAAAGAGGCACCAACAGGCUGAAGGUGUUGUUGGUUCUUAGACAGUACCUUUAGGUGCUUAUCUUGGAGACAAGAAAAAGAAGCUUCUGAUUUCUAGCAAAUUGACUAUAUAUGCAGGUUUUAUUGAAGAGUUGUGACCAAGAAUAUAAUAACAGUUUAACAGCAUAACAUACCAAAGCUACUUCAAUAUGACCGAUGCAAAACCAACCAUCAUCCCUGCAACAAUAGAAAGAAGAUGCUUUUCCAGGAUGAAACAAGAAAGUUUUGAAAAGUCAGACUUCAAAACUGCAUAUCAUAAAAUGAUAUUGCUUGGAAAAGAAAACCCCACAAGACUAAUAAUCUCCAAAGAGCCACAUCAAGCAACACAAUUCAAACAAGAAUGCAAUUAAUUUCCUAUUGAACAACAUUUUAUAGAACCUGAACUUAAAAUUAUCCAACAUUUUAUUAACUUGUCAAUUUUUCCAUGAACUUCUUUUAAAUAUUCUCCCUCAUCAUACAAAAUCUUAAAGUAAACAAGAGAGAUCCAAGUUCCUUAAGAACAUUAACUUAAAUAAAUUUCUUAACAACACCAUGGAAUGAUCAAAUGACUACAUUGCAUACUUUACUUCAAAAGGCAAAAUGACCCAUGUAAAGUAAAUUGAAUAAAAUAUAAAGGGCUUACAUGUCUAGGUCUUUGCUAGAGUAAAU